GGAUUAGAUACCCUGGUAGUCCACGCCGUAAACGAUGUCUAUUAGCCGUUGGGAAUCUUGUAUUCUUAGUGGCGCAGCUAACGCGAUAAAUAGACCGCCUGGGGAGUACGGCCGCAAGGUUAAAACUCAAAUGAAUUGACGGGGGCCCGCACAAGCGGUGGAGCAUGUGGUUUAAUUCGAUGCAACGCGAAGAACCUUACCAGGUCUUGACAUCCUGAGAACUUUCUAGAGAUAGAUUGGUGCCUUCGGGAACUCAGUGACAGGUGCUGCAUGGCUGUCGUCAGCUCGUGCCG
RNAcentral lists this ribosomal RNA (293 nucleotides) under uncultured bacterium. RNAcentral describes it as "partial 16S ribosomal RNA". It matches the Rfam family "Bacterial small subunit ribosomal RNA", at positions 775 to 1067 of the family's 1533-position model. The record is from RNAcentral.